AUUGAACGCUGGCGGCAUGCCUUACACAUGCAAGUCGAACGGUAACAGGUCUCCGGAUGCUGACGAGUGGCGAACGGGUGAGUAAUACAUCGGAACGUGCCUAGUAGUGGGGGAUAACUACUCGAAAGAGUGGCUAAUACCGUAUGAGAUCUACGGAUGAAAGCAGGGGAUCGCAAGACCUUGUGCUACUAGAGCGGCCGAUGGCAGAUUAGGUAGUUGGUGGGAUAAAAGCUUACCAAGCCGACGAUCUGUAGCUGGUCUGAGAGGACGAUCAGCCACACUGGGACUGAGACACGGACCAGACUCCUACGGGAGGCAGCAGUGGGGAAUUUUGGACAAUGGGCGAAAGCCUGAUCCAGCAAUGCCGCGUGCAGGAUGAAGGCCUUCGGGUUGUAAACUGCUUUUGUACGGAACGAAAAGCCCCGGGUUAAUACCCUGGGGUCAUGACGGUACCGUAAGAAUAAGCACCGGCUAACUACGUGCCAGCAGCCGCAGUAA
RNAcentral lists this ribosomal RNA (498 nucleotides) under uncultured bacterium. RNAcentral describes it as "partial 16S ribosomal RNA". It matches the Rfam family "Bacterial small subunit ribosomal RNA", at positions 30 to 523 of the family's 1533-position model. The record is from RNAcentral.